GAUGAACGCUGGCGGCGUGCCUAAUACAUGCAAGUCGAGCGAACGGACGAGAAGCUUGCUUCUCUGAUGUUAGCGGCGGACGGGUGAGUAACACGUGGAUAACCUACCUAUAAGACUGGGAUAACUUCGGGAAACCGGAGCUAAUACCGGAUAAUAUUUUGAACCGCAUGGUUCAAAAGUGAAAGACGGUCUUUCUGUCACUUAUAGAUGGAUCCGCGCUGCAUUAGCUAGUUGGUAAGGUAACGGCUUACCAAGGCAACGAUGCAUAGCCGACCUGAGAGGGUGAUCGGCCACACUGGAACUGAGACACGGUCCAGACUCCUACGGGAGGCAGCAGUAGGGAAUCUUCCGCAAUGGGCGAAAGCCUGACGGAGCGACGCCGCGUGAGUGAUGAAGGUCUUCGGAUCGUAAAACUCUGUUAUUAGGGAAGAACAUAUGUGUAAGUAACUGUGCACAUCUUGACGGUACCUAAUCAGAAAGCCACGGCUAACUACGUG
Molecule: ribosomal RNA, 497 nt
Filed under: uncultured bacterium
Lineage: Bacteria
Description: partial 16S ribosomal RNA
Rfam family: Bacterial small subunit ribosomal RNA
Source: RNAcentral